Molecule: unclassified non-coding RNA, 305 nt
Filed under: plant metagenome
Description: partial contains 5.8S ribosomal RNA, internal transcribed spacer 2, and large subunit ribosomal RNA
Rfam family: 5.8S ribosomal RNA (bases 1-105)
Source: RNAcentral
GAAAUGCGAUAAGUAGUGUGAAUUGCAGAAUUCAGUGAAUCAUCGAAUCUUUGAACGCACAUUGCGCCCUUUGGUAUUCCAAAGGGCAUGCCUGUUCGAGCGUCAUUUGUACCCUCAAGCUUUGCUUGGUGGUGGGCGUCUUGUCUCCAGUUCCCUGGAGACUCGCCUUAAAGUAAUUGGCAGCCGGCCUACUGGUUUCGGAGCGCAGCACAAGUCGCGCUCUCUUCCAGCCAAGGUCAGCAUCCACAAAGCCUUUUUUCAACUUUUGACCUCGGAUCAGGUAGGGAUACCCGCUGAACUUAAGC